Molecule: non-coding RNA, 111 nt
Organism: Acanthosepion pharaonis
Lineage: Eukaryota; Metazoa; Mollusca; Cephalopoda; Sepiida; Sepiidae
Source: the annotation of a GenBank genome assembly
UACAGCCAUAUCACAAUGAAGCACCAGUUCUCAUACAAUCACCAGAGUUAAGCAAUGUUGGACCUGGUCAGUACCCAGAUGGGUGACUGCUUUGGAACACCAAAUGCUGUA